This 773-nucleotide ribosomal RNA is filed under the name uncultured Neocallimastigales. Its description in RNAcentral is "partial large subunit ribosomal RNA". It matches the Rfam family "Eukaryotic large subunit ribosomal RNA", at positions 22 to 634 of the family's 3401-position model. The record is from RNAcentral. Lineage: Eukaryota; Fungi; Neocallimastigomycota; Neocallimastigomycetes; Neocallimastigales.
CUAUACAUGACUCUGUGCAUAUCAAUAAGCGGAGGAAAAGAAACUAACAAGGAUUCCCCUAGUAACGGCGAGUGAAGCGGGAAGAGCUCAAAUUUGAAAUCUUAAAGGGUUUCCCUUUACGAAUUGUAGUUUAAAGAAGUGUUUUCUGUUGAGGUUUUGGUAAAAGUUCUUUGGAAUAGGACAUCAUAGAGGGUGAGAAUCCCGUAUUUGACCUUUACUUUCAACUUUGUGAUACACUUUCAAAGAGUCGGAUUGUUUGGGAAUGCAGUCCAAAAUGGGUGGUAAAUUUCAUCUAAAGCUAAAUAUUGGCGAGAGACCGAUAGCGAACAAGUACCGUGAGGGAAAGAUGAAAAGAACUUUGGAAAGAGAGUUAAACAGUACGUGAAAUUGUCAAAAGGGAAGCGUUUGACACCAGUGUUGUUUUUCUGAAAAUCAAUUAAAGAACUGUUUAUGCUAAGCUGUUUAGACUUUAUCAGCUAUCUGUUUAGUUUUGAGCUUUUCUUUAAUGCACUUUCAGUUAACAAGUCAACAUCAAUUUCUUUUGCUGUAAAAAAGCUUGAGGAAGGUGGCUUGAGAUUCGUCUUAAGUGUUUAUAGCCUCUUGCCUAUGCAGUCGGAGAGAUUGAGGUCUGCAGCGUAGAUCCUUCGGGGCUAAAUGCAUUUGUGCUAAGUUAUAGCAUUUUAUAGACAACUUGUUGACUAUGAUUUGUCUUGUAGCUUACUCGCUUAUGUUAUUUUACCUACGCUUAGGAUGUUGAUCUACAGAGCGAGAGU